RNAcentral lists this ribosomal RNA (492 nucleotides) under uncultured bacterium. Its description in RNAcentral is "partial 16S ribosomal RNA". It matches the Rfam family "Bacterial small subunit ribosomal RNA", at positions 29 to 507 of the family's 1533-position model. The record is from RNAcentral.
AGUGAACGCUGGCGGUAGGCCUAACACAUGCAAGUCGAACGGCAGCACAGUAAGAGCUUGCUCUUACGGGUGGCGAGUGGCGGACGGGUGAGGAAUACAUCGGAAUCUACUUUUUCGUGGGGGAUAACGUAGGGAAACUUACGCUAAUACCGCAUACGACCUACGGGUGAAAGCAGGGGAUCUUCGGACCUUGCGCGAUUGAAUGAGCCGAUGUCGGAUUAGCUAGUUGGCGGGGUAAAGGCCCACCAAGGCGACGAUCCGUAGCUGGUCUGAGAGGAUGAUCAGCCACACUGGAACUGAGACACGGUCCAGACUCCUACGGGAGGCAGCAGUGGGGAAUAUUGGACAAUGGGCGCAAGCCUGAUCCAGCCAUACCGAGUGGGUGAAGAAGGCCUUCGGGUUGUAAAGACCUUUUGUUGGGAAAGAAAAGCAGCAGGUUAAUACCCCGCUGUUCUGACGGUACCCACAGAAUAAGCACCGGCUAACUUCGUG